UUAGAAGAUAGAAAUGGUGAAGCACAGAGUUGGCAGAGGAAGUGUCUAAGGGAAGUAAGUAUUGUAUCUUAUAACGACCGUGAGGACGGCGCGGGGGAACCCAGCUGGUAAGUUCUAGAUAUUAGUACAGAUUCCUUUGGUUUUCUUUCUUUGUCAUUUUCUGUGUUUCGUCUCUUUCAAUUUCAAAAUACUAUCUUGCUGUAGCUCUACGGUAUUUUCUCUGUCAUGUCCUUUCUACGUUUGAUUCUCAACCCUGAGUUGUUGCCGGGAAAUAGUGGGAGAUAAUGACGGGGGAGAGUUUGUUUGACUGCAGUGUGUUC
This 320-nucleotide small RNA is filed under the name Nakaseomyces nivariensis. Its description in RNAcentral is "[Candida] nivariensis partial ribonuclease P RNA". The record is from RNAcentral. Lineage: Eukaryota; Fungi; Ascomycota; Saccharomycetes; Saccharomycetales; Saccharomycetaceae.